CGAUGAGUAGGGCGGGACACGUGGUAUCCUGUCUGAAUAUGGGGGGACCAUCCUCCAAGGCUAAAUACUCCUGACUGACCGAUAGUGAACCAGUACCGUGAGGGAAAGGCGAAAAGAACCCCGGCGAGGGGAGUGAAAAAGAACCUGAAACCGUGUACGUACAAGCAGUGGGAGCACAGGUUUACCUGUGUGACUGCGUACCUUUUGUAUAAUGGGUCAGCGACUUAUAUUCUGUAGCAAGGUUAACCGUAUAGGGGAGCCGCAGGGAAACCGAGUCUUAACCGGGCGUUAAGUUGCAGGGUAUAGACCCGAAACCCGGUGAUCUAGCCAUGGGCAGGUUGAAGGUUGGGUAACACUAACUGGAGGACCGAACCGACUAAUGUUGAAAAAUUAGCGGAUGACCUGUGGCUGGGGGUGAAAGGCCAAUCAAACCGGGAGAUAGCUGGUUCUCCCCGAAAGCUAUUUAGGUAGCGCCUCGUGAACUCAUCUCCGGGGGUAGAGCACUGUUUCGG
RNAcentral lists this ribosomal RNA (512 nucleotides) under Salmonella enterica. RNAcentral describes it as "partial 23S ribosomal RNA". It matches the Rfam family "Bacterial large subunit ribosomal RNA", at positions 406 to 918 of the family's 2925-position model. Lineage: Bacteria; Pseudomonadati; Pseudomonadota; Gammaproteobacteria; Enterobacterales; Enterobacteriaceae. The record is from RNAcentral.